RNAcentral lists this long non-coding RNA (220 nucleotides) under Vigna radiata. RNAcentral describes it as "long non-coding RNA (VRAD_LNC007710)". Lineage: Eukaryota; Viridiplantae; Streptophyta; Magnoliopsida; Fabales; Fabaceae. The record is from RNAcentral.
CCGUGGCUAAGGCUUAGGUUCUGACUCUAUCCUGAUAUUCUGUGAUUAUGCCUUCUCAGAUAGAGAAGGGUAACUCAUGUGUGGGAAUGGCAGGAGGUCCUUUAGCCUCAGAGUAUUUCUAUACCGAGGUGGUUCCACUGGACUAACCUCGGGUGGCGGUCUGUUGAGUGUAUCCCAGCUAGGUCCACCCGGGUGCAGAGAGCGGUGAGAAUACAUGGUC